GAUGAACGCUGGCGGCGUGCCUAAUACAUGCAAGUCGAGCGAACGGACGAGAACCUUGCUUCUCUGAUGUUAGCGGCGGACGGGUGAGUAACACGUGGAUAACCUACCUAUAAGACUGGGAUAACUUCGGGAAACCGGAGCUAAUACCGGAUAAUAUUUUGAACCGCAUGGUUCAAAAGUGAAAGACGGUCUUGCUGUCACUUAUAGAUGGAUCCGCGCUGCAUUAGCUAGUUGGUAAGGUAACGGCUUACCAAGGCAACGAUGCAUAGCCGACCUGAGAGGGUGAUCGGCCACACUGGAACUGAGACACGGUCCAGACUCCUACGGGAGGCAGCAGUAGGGAAUCUUCCGCAAUGGGCGAAAGCCUGACGGAGCAACGCCGCGUGAGUGAUGAAGGUCUUCGGAUCGUAAAACUCUGUUAUUAGGGAAGAACAUAUGUGUAAGUAACUGUGCACAUCUUGACGGUACCUAAUCAGAAAGCCACGGCUAACUACGUGCCAGCAGCCGCGGUAAUACGUAGGUGGCAAGCGUUAUCCGGAAUUAUUGGGCGUAAAGCGCGCGUAGGCGGUUUUUUAAGUCUGAUGUGAAAGCCCACGGCUCAACCGUGGAGGGUCAUUGGAAACUGGAAAACUUGAGUGCAGAAGAGGAAAGUGGAAUUCCAUGUGUAGCGGUGAAAUGCGCAGAGAUAUGGAGGAACACCAGUGGCGAAGGCGACUUUCUGGUCUGUAACUGACGCUGAUGUGCGAAAGCGUGGGGAUCAAACAGGAUUAGAUACCCUGGUAGUCCACGCCGUAAACGAUGAGUGCUAAGUGUUAGGGGGUUUCCGCCCCUUAGUGCUGCAGCUAACGCAUUAAGCACUCCGCCUGGGGAGUACGACCGCAAGGUUGAAACUCAAAGGAAUUGACGGGGACCCGCACAAGCGGUGGAGCAUGUGGUUUAAUUCGAAGCAACGCGAAGAACCUUACCAAAUCUUGACAUCUUUUGACAACUCUAGAGAUAGAGCCUUCCCCUUCGGGGGACAAAGUGACAGGUGGUGCAUGGUUGUCGUCAGCUCGUGUCGUGAGAUGUUGGGUUAAGUCCCGCAACGAGCGCAACCCUUAAGCUUAGUUGCCAUCAUUAAGUUGGGCACUCUAAGUUGACUGCCGGUGACAAACCGGAGGAAGGUGGGGAUGACGUCAAAUCAUCAUGCCCCUUAUGAUUUGGGCUACACACGUGCUACAAUGGACAAUACAAAGGGCAGCGAAACCGCGAGGUCAAGCAAAUCCCAUAAAGUUGUUCUCAGUUCGGAUUGUAGUCUGCAACUCGACUACAUGAAGCUGGAAUCGCUAGUAAUCGUAGAUCAGCAUGCUACGGUGAAUACGUUCCCGGGUCU
Molecule: ribosomal RNA, 1372 nt
Filed under: uncultured bacterium
Lineage: Bacteria
Description: bacterial SSU rRNA
Rfam family: Bacterial small subunit ribosomal RNA
Source: RNAcentral